RNAcentral lists this ribosomal RNA (2861 nucleotides) under Zarea fungicola. RNAcentral describes it as "Lecanicillium fungicola large subunit ribosomal RNA". It matches the Rfam family "Bacterial large subunit ribosomal RNA". Lineage: Eukaryota; Fungi; Ascomycota; Sordariomycetes; Hypocreales; Cordycipitaceae. The record is from RNAcentral.
UAAGUAUAUAAAGGAAUUAUUAUGGAAUUUUAGCUAUGUAUUAAGGAGAAUUAAUAUAAAACAAAGAAAUGAAAUAUUUCUUAGUUUAAUAAACUCUAGAAGAAAUUUAAUAAUAAACGAAGUGAAUUGAAAUAUCUUAGUAACUUUAGGAAAAGAAAUCAAAAGAGAUUCUAUGAAUAGCGUGAGCGAAAGUAGAGGAGUCUAUUAAGUAGAAUGGUCUAUAAACUGUUUGAAAGGGGAACCUUCCUCAAAGACUAAAUAUAAUACAUAAGCGAUAGUGUAAAAGUACCGUGAGGGAAACGAAUAAAAAUAGUAAUUUUAGAAGCAGUUCGAGCGCAAGCUAAAGAACGUACCUUUUGCAUAAUGGGUCACCAAGUUAACAUUAGAUGCGAGGAUUAUUCCGUAGUUAAACCAAACGUUAAAAUAACGAUAAGUGUCUAAAGUUAGACCCGAAGCCUGGUGAUUUUACCACAAUCAGGAUUAUAAAGGUCCGAACGGGUGAUUGUAGCAUAAAUCUCCGAAGAAUUGUGGUAGGUAUAGUGAAAGACAAUACUGACUAGGAUAGCUGGUUUUCUGCGAAACCUAUAACAGUAGGCAAUUUAAUAAAAUAUCUUAGCAGGUACAGAAUUUAAUCUCAGGCAAUAUUAUAUUGCGCAAAUUGGGGAAUCGUGAAGAUUUUAUCAGUGAGUAUGUAGACUCGGAAUGGCAAAGAUAUAUAUUGAAUGAUCAGACAUAGAAUGAUAAGGUUGUAUGUCAAAAGGGAAACAGCCCAGAACAAGAGUUAAGGUUCCUAAAUUAUUUGUUAAGUGAAAUUAAGAAGGUUUUUAUUAAAGUCGACAAGGAGAUAGGCUUAGAAGCAGCCAUAAUUUUAUGACCUCGUAACAGAGCGCUUGUUAAGUUAUAAAAGCAUCGAAAAUAUAACGGAUCUAAACAAUAUACCGAAACCUUGUCCAUAAAUUAUCAAAUAAUUAUUUAUUUGAUUCUUAUGGGGUAGCAGAACGUUGAAUUAAAUUAUGAAUGGAAUUUUAUAAAUUUUAUUAAGAAAAUAUUUAACUCAAGUGAGAAUGGUGACAUGAGUAACGAAAAGAAUAUAGUUUAGUAAGGAUGCAAGUUCUUACUUUACAUAUCCGCCUAAAGCUUAUGGAUAAAUUUAAGUAACGGCCUCUAAGUUUCUAAUCUAAAGAUUAAAACGAUGAGUAAAUCUUUUAUUAUGAAGGACGACAUUUUUUAGUGGAAAAUGUACAGGAAAAUUGAUAAUAUUAUAACCGUACCUAGAAUCUGACUACAGUAAGCUAGUAGAGUAUACGAAGGCGUAAUUGAGAUAACAAUCAUAAAGGAACUCGGCAAAUUGACUAUCGUAACUUCGGGAUAAGUAGGGCUCAUUAUUCUUGAUUAAUAUCAGGUAAAGAGGAAGAAACAUAAAAUAAUGUUGUACGACUGUUUAAUUAAAACACAGCACUUUGCUUAAGAUUAAAAAUCUAUGUAUAAAGUGUGAUAUCUGCCCGGUGCCGGCUGGCUAACAGAGAUAAUUGAAUAUUUUACUAUUUGAUGUCGACGGAAGCCCCGGUUAAAGGCGGCCUUAACGUGAGGGUCCUAAGGUAGCGAAAUGCCUUGGCCGUUAAAUGCGGUCUUGCAUGAAUGGUGUAACGAUACAACAGCUGUCUCUAUGAUUGACUCAGUGAAAUUGGAAUAGCUGUGCAGAUACAGCUUACCUCUAGUUAGACGAGAAGACCCUAUGCAGCUUUACUGUCACUAAUUAUAGAUUUUGAUGAACAAUUUUCAGACUAAAAGGGAAUUGAUUAAAUAUCCAUGAGAAACCUUUAUUUUUUCAUCAUCUGAAUGAAUUGGUGUACUAUUUUAUAAUGGUACAUCAUCCUAGUUCAGCUUAAUUUCAUUAAUUAAGAAAUUAAGUACCCUUGGAGAGGAACUAUCGCUAGGGGACAGUUUAUGUGGGGCACAGACCCUGUAAAGAGUAAACAGGUGUGUCUAAUAAUUAUUUUUAUUUUGUUUGCAAUUUUUAAAUAAAUCAUUUUAACUUUGAUAUAACUAUGGGUAUUUAUACGAUUAUAUUUAUAUUGAAAAUUUAGGUAAGAUUUUGACUAUACUGAAAUUAGAGAUAAUUGAAAAUUUUAUGUAGUAAUUACUAAAAUUUUUUAGUUAUUCAGGCGCAAGCUCGAAUAAUUAUGUUUUUAAUAUCUAAAAAGCUCAACGGCUUAAUCUUGCCUUACUGUUUGAUUAUCAACAAAUCUUACAGUUGCGUAAGCAGGGCAUAGGAUCACAAGAUGCAAUAAGGAAAGAUCUUGGAUUAUUGGAAAAGCUACGCUAGGGAUACAGGCUAAUUUGCGCAAGAGUGUACAAAAUGAGUGCGCGGUUUGGCACCUCGAUGUCGGCUUAACUUAUCCUCAUGGAUGCAGAAACUAUGUAGGGUGCGACUGUUCGUCGAUUAAAAAGUUACAUGAGCUGGGUUAAAUACGUCGUGAGACAGUAUGGUUUCUAUCUUCUAGAGGGAAUUAGAAUAAAAUAAGAACGAACUUUUGUACGAAAGGAACAAGAAUAAUUUUUUUUAAAUAAUAGUUACUAACCUAUGGUUUACCUGUUGUUUAUGUGCCUUAAUAUUAAAUAUAUAGCUAAAACUAUAUAUAGAUAUAUACUUAGUUUACUAAGUCUAUAUAGGGAUGUUUCUCUCACUAAGAUAAAUAUAUUACAUAAGCACGGCAGGAAAGCUAAGUUGGUUAAGGAUAAGUGCUGAAAGCAUAUAGGCACGAAGCUUAUCUUAAGAUAUUUCUUAAAUAUAUGUAUUAGAAUAAUACAUAAUAGGCUUUCUUUGUAAGAAUCUAGAGAUUUGUAAGAUGAAAGUACUA